RNAcentral lists this ribosomal RNA (493 nucleotides) under Staphylococcus pseudintermedius. RNAcentral describes it as "bacterial SSU rRNA". It matches the Rfam family "Bacterial small subunit ribosomal RNA", at positions 230 to 715 of the family's 1533-position model. The record is from RNAcentral. Lineage: Bacteria; Bacillati; Bacillota; Bacilli; Caryophanales; Staphylococcaceae.
CCCGCGCCGUAUUAGCUAGUUGGUGGGGUAACGGCCUACCAAGGCGACGAUACGUAGCCGACCUGAGAGGGUGAUCGGCCACACUGGAACUGAGACACGGUCCAGACUCCUACGGGAGGCAGCAGUAGGGAAUCUUCCGCAAUGGGCGAAAGCCUGACGGAGCAACGCCGCGUGAGUGAUGAAGGUCUUCGGAUCGUAAAGCUCUGUUGUUAGGGAAGAACAAAUGUGUAAGUAACUGUGCACAUCUUGACGGUACCUAACCAGAAAGCCACGGCUAACUACGUGCCAGCAGCCGCGGUAAUACGUAGGUGGCAAGCGUUAUCCGGAAUUAUUGGGCGUAAAGCGCGCGUAGGCGGUUUUUUAAGUCUGAUGUGAAAGCCCACGGCUCAACCGUGGAGGGUCAUUGGAAACUGGAAAACUUGAGUGCAGAAGAGGAAAGUGGAAUUCCAUGUGUAGCGGUGAAAUGCGCAGAGAUAUGGAGGAACACCAGUGG